RNAcentral lists this unclassified non-coding RNA (807 nucleotides) under Hevea brasiliensis (rubber tree). The record is from RNAcentral. Lineage: Eukaryota; Viridiplantae; Streptophyta; Magnoliopsida; Malpighiales; Euphorbiaceae.
CCGAAAAGCUUCUUCUAUGCAAAUGGGUAUCACCGUAUGUCGUUGGGCUCAUGGCUAACUCAAGCCGUGGAUCAAACAAAUCAUCGGUCUUUGAAUCAUUGAGGAAGGAGAAGUGGUCUUGAAUUUGAUACUCAUCAAUGAGAUCAUUAUUGCUGUUAUUAUUAGCGUUACUGCUGUUGUAGUAUGGGAAUGCAUUAGAUAACGGCACAGAAGACGAUAACGAUGAGGAACCAGUGCGGUUAUUACUGGUUCCAUUAACAAUACUAGCGUAUGAAAGUGAGGAAGUGGAGCUAGGAUUCAGAAGAGGCCAAGAAUUUGAUGAUGGUGAAGAUGGGUUUGUGAUGUCAAAGCCAUUGUUGGAAGAGAUUCUUGAAGAGGAAAUGGACAAAGGGUUGGGUCUAGAAGUGGGAUUAAAAGGUGAAGGAGGAGAGGGUGUGGAGGGUGUUGAAGGUGAGUUAGAGGUAAGACCCAGAUGGGUUUUUGCUUGGAGGAUGAGAUUAUGCAAGAGGGUUUCUGGUCCAAAGGCUAAGCGUAUCAUCUCCUUGUCUCCAUGGUCCUGUAAAAGAAGGUAGCCCAUGAUUUUUGAGGCAUUUUCAGGGUCCAAGCCUUGGAUCCUUGAAAACACCAUCUUGGUAGCUUCAUAAGAAUCCAUGGAGGAAAAACACAAUAAAGCACACACAAACACCUCGCAAACCUCAAACUUUGUAGAGAGAGAAAGAGCAAAAUGAUAGGGAGAGGAAGGGUGAGAAGUAAAAGUGUGGACUUUGUUGAAAAGGGCAAAUAAUAAUGGAAUGGGAUUUGUUAUUU